AAGUCGUAACAAGGUAUCCGUAGGUGAACCUGCGGAUGGAUCAUUAAUUAUGUAAUCUAUUUUGUUAUAGGUUGAUUAAUUGUGAAUUGUACUUGUCGAUACUAAUGAAGGUUGGUGGAGACAAUAACUUUUUUGUUAUUAUAAACUGAUUAAAUUUUGUUUAAAUUUGAAACAACUUUUAGCAACGGAUCUCUAGGCUCUC
Molecule: unclassified non-coding RNA, 202 nt
Filed under: fungal sp.
Lineage: Eukaryota; Fungi
Description: partial internal transcribed spacer region
Rfam family: Eukaryotic small subunit ribosomal RNA (bases 1-46)
Source: RNAcentral